AAUAGAUAACCCGGGUAGUCCACGCCGUAAACGAUGGAUACUAGCUGUUGGAGGUAUCGACCCCUUCAGUAGCGAAGCUAACGCGUUAAGUAUCCCGCCUGUGGAGUACGGUCGCAAGACUAAAACAUAAAGGAAUUGACGGGGACCCGCACAAGCGGUGGAUCGUGUUCUUUAAUUCGAUGCUAAACGAAGAACCUUACCAGGGUUUGACAUCCCUUGAAUUAAUCCGAAAGGAUUGAGUGCUUUAUUGAACAAGGUGACAGGUGAUGCAUGGCCGUCGUCAGCUCGUGUCGUGAGAUGUUUGGUUAAGUCCAUCAACGAGCGCAACCCUUGCAAGUAGUUGUAUUUUUCUACUUGGACUGCCCCGGUAACGGGGAGGAAGGAGGGGAUGAUGUCAGGUCAGUAUUCCCUUACAUCCUGGGCUAGAAACACGAUACAAUGGCUAGUACAAUGCGCAGCGAAGCCGCGAGGUGAAGCAAAUCGCAUCAAAGCUAGUCCCAGUUCGGAUUGGAGGCUGAAACUCGCCUCAUGAAGUCGG
RNAcentral lists this ribosomal RNA (538 nucleotides) under uncultured bacterium. RNAcentral's name for it is "bacterial SSU rRNA". It matches the Rfam family "Bacterial small subunit ribosomal RNA", at positions 777 to 1329 of the family's 1533-position model. The record is from RNAcentral.